Molecule: long non-coding RNA, 2220 nt
Organism: Daucus carota subsp. sativus
Lineage: Eukaryota; Viridiplantae; Streptophyta; Magnoliopsida; Apiales; Apiaceae
Exons: 4
Source: RefSeq, a predicted model, not a curated record
UGAUUAACAAGUUUAUGUAUCUAGCUAUCUGAUUGUUUUAGAAUAUCUGUUAAUUCUUCAUUUUGUGUGCUUUUUCGGUUUAUAUGUUCUGUUGUCGGCCCUGGAUGUUUGGAUUUUUGUUGUUUUUUUGUGUAAAUUAGGGUUUCGUGUGAUACGAAUGUGUUGUUUUUGUUCAUAAGUCCGGUUGAUUUGUGCUUGUGAUAGAUUUGUGCUUGUGAUUAAUUCGUGUUCUAAAUGUUAAUUUGAGAACCAAAUGAAUUUAUAAGAAUUGAAAACCUUCAGGUUUGUAUAGUUGUAACAGGUGAUUGGGAUGCAAUUCAGUUUUGAUAUGUAUUUCAAACGGAUUACUGAUAUGCAUCUGAGCAAAGAGUCGGGAUUACUGAUAUAAAUUUGUGUUCAACCUUCUCAGGUGAUCAGUAACAAGAAGUUACCCAAAUGAGGAUUCAUUAGACAAAUUCAUGGAGAGUGAUAGAAGAAUAUGUGGCAGAUUGAUUUGUUCUGUAGCCAAAGAAUCUCCACAGCAAGUCACCUGAUUAUUGUUUUGGCACUGUAAGAUACCUUAGCUCCUCAUCUGGAAUGUCUAAACUGCUUGAACAUACAAUUUGUGAGCUUCCAUAUAUAUUCGAUAUAUGAAAUUACGUACUUGAGUUGUUGCAUAUGCAUGCCAGUUCAUGCUCAGGUGGAUCUUAAAUUUACACUAGGUGAAGAACAAACAGUUGGCUGCUCCAACGUAAGUGUUCAUUCAAGAGUCGAAGGUAUCACUAACAACUAAUUCUUCUUCAGUAUUUGGAUAUUCUCAGAUUAUCUGGCUUGCCACAAUCAAGAGUUUGCUAUAACGAGUAAGCUUUAAACUGAGUAGAAGUAUAGAACAACUUGAGCUGAUUUUUUUUAUAGCAGUUUAGAGACUUUAAAAUACAGAUUUUCCUGAUAUACACAGGUUGUGUUUCUCGGUUGGUCUUAAAUGGUGAUGAUCACAAUUAAGCUGCUCUUAGUGAAGGUCGAAUUGCAAGGAGCUGAAGGAGGGUGACUUCCAGAUGGAUUCACCGCAUCUCUGAUUCUCCCUUUGCUUCCAAACAGUAAAUUUAAACUGAAAAUUAUUACUGAGAUAUGCCCAUCGAAGAACACGACAUUAGAUGGUCUUUACCGGUCACCAGAAAUUUCAUCACACAAUGUGAAACAGCGAAUUUUCGGAAAAUCCUAAUUGUCGUAGUGUAUAUGAUGUAAAAACUCUUCAAUGUCAUGAGCCUGAUCAAGUGCCCCUCAUUUCAAUGAUCCAGUGAUACACUGUAUCACUUUGGUAUCUCUGCUCCUUAUUUUAUCUGGCCUUUAACAUAGGAAUUUCAUUGGGUUACUGAUUCUGCAGAUAUUGAAGAUAGACUUUCCAAAGCAAUAGUGUCAUUUGACAUUGAAGAUGAACAAUUCAAUUUUUUUUACAUGGAUGGAUCCACCUAAAAUUCCUCUUGAAGAGCGAGUGAUUAUCGAUACAUUAAAUGACUCACUUUCACUGGUUGUUCCUCACAAAAGUUUUCUAAACUCAAGCUUUUAUAUAUGGGUGAUGGAUGACUAGGGGAAAUAGGUAUCUCUUGGACUAGGCGAUACAUCACCCGUCUAUAAAAGCUUGAGUUUAGAAAACUUGUGUAAGGAACAAUCACUGAAAGUGAGUCAUUUAAUGGAUCGAUAAUAACUGGCUUUUGAAGAGGAAUUUUAAAAGGAUCUAGCCAUUAAAAAAAAUUGAAUUGUUCAUCUUCAAUGUCAAAUGAAACUACUGCUUUGGAAAGUCUAUCUUCAAUACCUGCAGAAUCAGUAACCCAAUGAAAUGCCUAUUUUAAAGGUCAGAUGAAAUAAUGAGCAGAGAUACCAAAGAGUAUCAGUGGAUCAUUGAAAUGAGGGGCACUUGAUCAGGCUCAUGACAUGGAAGAGUUGUUACAUCAUGUGCACUACGACAAUUAGGAUAUUGGACAAAUGAUCUUCCUAUAAUGACAACAUAUGAGAGCAUUUUUUUUUUAUGACCCUAAAAUCCAGGAACGGAAGAACACUCCAGUUUUUUGUAUUUCACUACAUUCCGCCAUUAUGUUGAAACUUUGGAAACAGUCACCUGGGAUAUUGAAUAUUCAGGAAGGGCUGUCCAGUGAUGUAAUUCCCUGCCCUUGCAUAGUGUAUCUAUUAACACUGCAUGAUCUAAUAUCUCUGAAGCAUUGUUGAAGAAUAUUAAAUUAUAAC